RNAcentral lists this ribosomal RNA (301 nucleotides) under uncultured bacterium. Its description in RNAcentral is "bacterial SSU rRNA". It matches the Rfam family "Bacterial small subunit ribosomal RNA", at positions 30 to 333 of the family's 1533-position model. The record is from RNAcentral.
AUUGAACGCUGGCGGCAUGCUUUACACAUGCAAGUCGAACGGCAGCGCGGGGCAACCUGGCGGCGAGUGGCGAACGGGUGAGUAAUAUAUCGGAACGUACCCAAGAGUGGGGGAUAACGUAGCGAAAGUUACGCUAAUACCGCAUACGAUCUAUGGAUGAAAGGUGGGGGAGUCGCAAGACCUCAUGCUCCUGGAGCGGCCGAUAUCUGAUUAGCUAGNGGUAGGGUAAGGCCUACCAAGGCGACGAUCAGUAGCUGGUCUGAGAGGACGACCAGCCACACUGGGACUGAGACACGGCCCA